UUCCUCCACAGAUCCUGCCAUCAUCUGAUUGCAUCAAAACUGCAGGCCAGAUCAACUGUUCCUGUGAGACUGUGGGAAAUCCUUUUCCCACUUUACACUGGUCUUUGGAUGGUCAGCCUGUCAGUCAGUCUGACAAGUUUGUGAUCAGCAGUGAGCGUCUACAUAAUGACAAAGGUCUGAGGAGCUUCAUCACUGUGAAUCAACCACAAGAGAUGAAUCGUUCCAUCUUGAUCUGCCACAGCUUCAACUCUCUUGGAUUUGCCAGUCAACAAUUCUGCCUUGAGCAUCAAGCAUGUGCUGAAAGUCAUGAUCCAGUGCUAUUUCUGAUGUUCUUUACCAAAAUUGCCAUCUUGCUUGCACUAUUUUGUGCUCUGCUGUGUGUUAUCAAGGCUCUGAAGAAUCGCCAAAACUCCAACAGUCAUCUCACAGGUGAAAUCAGCCGAGUUGCCAUGAGCCAACAUCUGAUAAAAGAGGCAAAUGAGGUACCCAACACACCAGAAGAGGACAUUUAUGUUAACACUGAACGCCAACCACAUGCUGCCAACCCUCCAACUGUGUCUGAGCCAAAUGAAGAAGAAUGAGGUUGACUGGAAGAGCAAGAAGCAGGAAGCAUCUAUCUGGUGGUUCCUAUCUGGAGGAGGAGAAGUGGAUGGUGGGGGGCAUUUGCAGGAAUUUUAUGAGUAAUGCACUGGAGAUGGGAAACCUGUAUGAUGAAGUGGAGUCUAGAAAUGUGAGAAAGGAAUCAGAGUGUGAAUAUGCAUAAGUUUUAAGGCAAAAGUGCAAGGAAAAAAAAUUCAUUUCACAUUUUCCACUGUUGGAAAGAACUGCUCAGCUACAUGCAUGUUUUCUUUUUGCAAAUAUCAAACUAAAAUUUUUUAGAAGGCUGGCCUGACAGGUACCAUUGUAUAGAAGAAAUUGUAGAAAUAUUCAAUCAAAAAUGUUGACAAUCCAUUCGGUAUCAUGGUAUAUGUUCAUAAAGGUUUUUACUCCAAAUGCUGGAUCCAACAUUUAUUGGAUCCAACUAUUGGCUAUUACCCUCCUUGAUUACUCAUAAUUUGUAUCAGUCCUGAAAGAAAUUAUUAUAUACUAUACUAUUUUGGAAAGAUUUUGUCUAAUUAAAUUGUUGAGACAGAAUCUUGUCACAUUUUAAAUACACAAUGAUUUUAAUAUUGAUGAACAGUUUCCACAAAUUCCACUGUCAAUGCAAAAUAAUACGGAAUGCUAUGUAUUUGCUUCUUUUUUAACUUAAAUGCUGAUAUUAGUCAUGUGUAAAUUGAGAAAACCCAUGCUGUUUUAUAUUUCUAUGCUUGUGUGGUAUAUAUUGUGUAAUGCAUUUCAAUAAUCUUGUAAUCUAGUAAUCUUGAGUUUUUUUCCUUUUGUCUUGAGUUGCAGUUUAUUUUAUCAAGAACUAUUUCAAAGCAGACAUUUUUGCAUUCAAUUUCU
This is a long non-coding RNA of Amphiprion ocellaris (clown anemonefish), 1443 nucleotides long. NCBI's taxonomy places the organism in Eukaryota, Metazoa, Chordata, Actinopteri, Pomacentridae. The record is from Ensembl.